GACGAACGCUGGCGGCGCGCCUAACACAUGCAAGUCGAACGGAGCUUAGAGAGCUUGCUUUUUAAGCUUAGUGGCGAACGGGUGAGUAACGCGUGAGGAACCUGCCUCAAAGAGGGGGACAACAGUUGGAAACGACUGCUAAUACCGCAUAAGCCCACGGCUCGGCAUCGAGCAGAGGGAAAAGGAGUGAUCCGCUUUGAGAUGGCCUCGCGUCCGAUUAGCUAGUUGGUGAGGUAACGGCCCACCAAGGCAACGAUCGGUAGCCGGACUGAGAGGUUGAACGGCCACAUUGGGACUGAGACACGGCCCAGACUCCUACGGGAGGCAGCAGUGGGGAAUAUUGCACAAUGGGCGAAAGCCUGACGGAGCAACGCCGCGUGAGUGAUGACGGCC
Molecule: ribosomal RNA, 393 nt
Filed under: uncultured bacterium
Lineage: Bacteria
Description: bacterial SSU rRNA
Rfam family: Bacterial small subunit ribosomal RNA
Source: RNAcentral